GAUGAACGCUGGCGGCGUGCCUAAUACAUGCAAGUCGAGCGAACGGACGAGAAGCUUGCUUCUCUGAUGUUAGCGGCGGACGGGUGAGUCACAUGUGGAUACUCUACCUAUAAGACUGGGAUAACUUCGGGAAACCGGAGCUAAUACCGGAUGAUAUUUUGAACCGCAUGGUUCAAUAGUGAAAGACGGUCUUGCUGGCACUUAUAGAUGGAUCCGCGCUGCAUUAGCUAGUUGGUAAGGUAACGGCUUACCAAGGCGACUAUGCAUAGCCGAACUGUGAGGGUGGUCGGCGGCACUGGAGGUGGGACGCGGUCCAGGGUCCUGCGGGAGGCAGCAGUAGGGAAUGGUACGCAGUGGGCGGAAGCCUGGCGGAGCGGCGGCGCGUGAGUGAUGGAGAUCUUCGGAUCGUGAAGCUCUGUUAUUAGGGGAAAACAUAUGUGGAAGUAGCUGUACACAUCUUGACGGUAACGGGUCAGAAAGCCACGGCUAACUACGUG
This 497-nucleotide ribosomal RNA is filed under the name uncultured bacterium. Its description in RNAcentral is "partial 16S ribosomal RNA". It matches the Rfam family "Bacterial small subunit ribosomal RNA", at positions 28 to 507 of the family's 1533-position model. The record is from RNAcentral.